GUUCGACUGCAACGUUGGUGACUGCCAAUAUAGUUUGUUGAUCUUGCUUGACAUAUACGGGCAUCAAUUGCACUCGUGGCGGUAGACCGGACUUUGCUAUCCGGAAACUUGAAACUGAGAGUAUCGAUACCCACCUGGAUUCUUCCAGGUCAUAAACUGAGGUAAAACGGCGUUGCGGCGAACU
This 184-nucleotide non-coding RNA is filed under the name Lusitaniella coriacea LEGE 07157. RNAcentral's name for it is "Leptolyngbya mycoidea LEGE 07157 6S / SsrS RNA". It matches the Rfam family "6S / SsrS RNA". From Rfam's summary of the family: E. coli 6S RNA was the first non coding RNA to be sequenced, but its function was unknown until recently. It consists of 184 nucleotides that fold into an extended hairpin structure with a large single-stranded internal bulge. The 6S RNA specifically associates with RNA polymerase holoenzyme containing the sigma70 specificity factor. The record is from Rfam by way of RNAcentral. Lineage: Bacteria; Bacillati; Cyanobacteriota; Cyanophyceae; Spirulinales; Lusitaniellaceae.